UCGAGGAUCUUCGGCAAUGGGCGAAAGCCUGACCGAGCGACGCCGCGUGCGGGAUGAAGGCCUUCGGGUUGUAAACCGCCGUCGGAGGGGAGGAAGUUCUAGGGGGUUCUCCCCCUAGAUUGACCUAUCCUCAGAGGAAGUACGGGCUAAGUUCGUGCCAGCAGCCGCGGUAAGACGAACCGUACAAACGUUAUUCGGAAUCACUGGGCUUAAAGGGUGCGUAGGCGGCCCGGAAAGUUGGGUGUGAAAGCCCUCGGCUCAACCGAGGAAUGGCGCCCAAAACUACC
RNAcentral lists this ribosomal RNA (287 nucleotides) under uncultured prokaryote. Its description in RNAcentral is "partial 16S ribosomal RNA". It matches the Rfam family "Bacterial small subunit ribosomal RNA", at positions 355 to 637 of the family's 1533-position model. The record is from RNAcentral.